GGAGAGGUGCCGGAGUGGUUGAACGGGACGGUCUCGAAAACCGUUGUGCGGGCAACCGUACCGUGGGUUCGAAUCCCACCCUCUCCGCCA
RNAcentral lists this transfer RNA (90 nucleotides) under Pannonibacter phragmitetus. Its description in RNAcentral is "tRNA-Ser(cga)". It matches the Rfam family "tRNA". Rfam says of the family: Transfer RNA (tRNA) molecules are approximately 80 nucleotides in length. RNAcentral also lists the same sequence under 5 other names. The record is from RNAcentral. Lineage: Bacteria; Pseudomonadati; Pseudomonadota; Alphaproteobacteria; Hyphomicrobiales; Stappiaceae.